CAGUCGCCGCGGGAAUACGGAGGAUCCAAGCGUUAUCCGGAUUUAUUGGGCGUAAAGGGCUCGCAGGCGGUUUCUUAAGUCUGAUGUGAAAGCCCCCGGCUCAACCGGGGAGGGUCAUUGGAAACUGGGAAACUUGAGUGCAGAAGAGGAGAGUGGAAUUCCACGUGUAGCGGUGAAAUGCGUAGAGAUGUGGAGGAACACCAGUGGCGAAGGCGACUCUCUGGUCUGUAACUGACGCUGAGGAGCGAAAGCGUGGGGAGCGAACAGGAUUAGAUACCCCUGUAGUCCCUGUCUCUUAUAC
RNAcentral lists this ribosomal RNA (301 nucleotides) under uncultured bacterium. RNAcentral describes it as "partial 16S ribosomal RNA". It matches the Rfam family "Bacterial small subunit ribosomal RNA", at positions 509 to 807 of the family's 1533-position model. The record is from RNAcentral.